This 1888-nucleotide unclassified non-coding RNA is filed under the name Chelonus insularis. RNAcentral's name for it is "protein rhomboid, transcript variant X3". Lineage: Eukaryota; Metazoa; Arthropoda; Insecta; Hymenoptera; Braconidae. The record is from RNAcentral.
GUAAGAAAGGACGUACAAGACGUGCGCGCGGGCCUAGCAUAUCAAGGUAAAGAGCUUGGCACACUCGUGUCUGCUCUUUGCCUGUCAAAUAAAUUCACUAUUGAUCCAAUGGAACGUACGAAUGUCCCGUAGUUAUUGUCCCAUUAAUCGAGUUAUAAUUAAUCAAAUAAAAGUGCACGUGUGUGUCGUUACACGUGUGUGUUGUAUCAAUGUUUAUAGUGUUAAGUGAAAUUUGAGUGUUCCUUACAAGAACAAUGUGUGUGACAACGCCACUAAGCGCCACUAAGAUACUCAAGGAUACAUCGCGUGGGACUGUUACGAGAACUAUUUCGACAACGUCGGUCCCUUUAACAUCACCAACAACCGCAAUAACAAUGAUGGCACCUGGCAAUGGCGUUGACUCGAGGCCCCAACACACCUCUAUCAUGAUGGUGCGCAUGAUCGGUGAUGAAUUUCUCACCGAAGAAAGAGAUAGAAAAUAUUACGCUGAUCGCUAUACAUGUUGUCCACCUCCGCUUUUUAUUAUCCUCAUUACCCUAGUCGAGUUGGGCUUCUUUACGUACUACACAGUUGCUAUGGGUGAGGUAAAUCCUUCAGGACCGGUUCCAAUAGACAGUGUAUUUAUUUAUCGACCAGAUAAGCGAUUGGAACUUUGGAGGUUUGCUUUCUACAUGUUUCUUCAUGCAGGAUGGCUACACCUGCUAUUUAACCUAGGGGUACAGGUGGUCGUGGGACUUCCCCUUGAAAUGGUUCAUGGGAGUUUGAGGAUCGCAGCAGUUUACAUGGCUGGCGUUCUAGCUGGUUCACUAGGCACGUCAGUUUUUGACACGGAUGUCUAUCUAGUUGGUGCAAGUGGAGGAGUUUAUGCACUUUUAGCAGCCCAUCUUGCAAAUGUCUUGUUGAAUUACAAUAAUAUGGAGUUUGGAAUCGUUCGGCUGAUUGGAAUAUUUACUAUUGCCAGUGCAGACGUGGGUUUCGCUAUCUACGACAGGUACGCGGCUGAGCAAAUGGGCCCACCUGUCUCGUACGUGGCACACCUGACGGGGGCUCUGGCCGGACUCACCAUUGGUCUACUCGUGCUCAAGAACUUUGAGCAACGAUUGCAUGAACAGUUACUCUGGUGGGUUGCCCUGGGUGUCUAUGCUGCUUGCACCAUCUUCGCGAUCAUGUACAACCUCAUGCAUCCAGACUAUCCAUGACGUGAGGUCAGCUUCGCGUAUGGUGUACCUAGGAACACGUAACGCGAAGCUGCUCUACAGGAUCUUAUUUCCACGUCGUCAUUGAUUACCUCCGAGGUCUUGGAAAUUACUAAAGGCACGAGGAUGAUGCCAAAUAGCGAAAAAUGUGGAGAAAGGUGAUAUGAAGAGGCCAGGGAAUAACGUACCAAAGACACUAAUCCAAGGAGACAAGAAAAUCAAUUAAAGGAUGAAAAGAUUGUCGAGCGUGAAAAGCAAGUAAUGAUGAAGAAAAAAAGAGUUGUUGGAUAGUCUGCAGGCUGGACCAGUUGACUGACAAGCAUUUCUUUUCUAACAACGAUUCAGGUGAAAAACAUGUAUAGUGGGUUGAUCGAAAUAGAGUCUCAUUGCACCAGACGUCAGGAACAUCCUUGAGGAAAAAGAAGAAAAGACUUUUCUUGACUGGGAAGUGAAUAAAUCUACAAGAGCAAGAAGAAUAGCGAGGAACAGUGCAUAUACAAGUUCGGACUGGAGGAGAAUCACUAAAGGCAAAGGAACUCUUAGAGGACAGGUGGUUUUGGUCCCUUGAAUAUACACCGCUCGAUAACACAAGACUGAAUAUCUUUUGAAUUAAUUUAAUUGGCAUGAAGGAAUGAUAUAUGAAAAAUUGUCAAGUAACAAUCGUUACUCAUCUACAUACGUUCUACUGCAUU